GACGAACGCUGGCGGCGUGCUUAACACAUGCAAGUCGAACGGAAAGGCCUGCUUUCCCUUGUGGAUUGCGGGUACUCGAGUGGCGAACGGGUGAGUAACACGUGAGUGAUCUGCCCCCAACUUGGGUAUAAGCCUGGGAAACUGGGUCUAAUUCCCGAUAGGACUGCAGGGUGGUGCCUGUGGUGGAAAACGAUUUUCUAGUGGUUGGGGAUGAGCUCGCGGCCUAUCAGCUUGUUGGUGGGGUAAUGGCCUACCAAGGCGGCGACGGGUAGCCGGCCUGAGAGGGUGGACGGCGACAUUGGGACUGAGAUACGGCCCAGACUCCUACGGGAGGCAGCAGUGGGGAAUAUUGCACAAUGGGCGGAAGCCUGAUGCAGCGACGCCGCGUGGGGGAUGACGGCCUUCGGGUUGUAAACCCCUUUCGACCGCGAGGAAGCCACCUGGUUGGAAGGGUGGUGACGGUAGUGGUAGAAGAAGCACCGGCUAACUACGUG
This 494-nucleotide ribosomal RNA is filed under the name uncultured bacterium. RNAcentral's name for it is "partial 16S ribosomal RNA". It matches the Rfam family "Bacterial small subunit ribosomal RNA", at positions 28 to 507 of the family's 1533-position model. The record is from RNAcentral.